AGCGAACGCUAGCGGCGGGCUUAACACAUGCAAGUCGAGCGCUUCACUUCGGUGAAGAGCGGCGGACGGGUGAGUAACACGUAGGUUACCUGCCCCCGGGUGAGGGACAACCGAGGGAAACCUCGGCUAAUACCACAUAUGGUCUACGGAUCAAAGGCUUCGGCCGCCCGGGGAUGGGCCUGCGUCCCAUUAUUUAAUCCUAGUUGGCGGGGUAACGGCCCACCAAGGGUACGAUGGGUAGCUGGUCUGAGAGGAUGAUCAGCCACACUGGAACUGAGACACGGUCCAGACUCCUACGGGAGGCAGCAGUGGGGAAUAUUGCGCAAUGGGCGAAAGCCUGACGCAGCCACGCCGCGUGAGUGAUGAAGGCCCCAGGGUCGUAAAGCUCGUGGUACGGGGGGAAGAAGUUCUGACCGGUACCCCCAAGAAGCACCGGCUAACUCCGUGCCAGCAGCCGCGGUAAUGU
This 466-nucleotide ribosomal RNA is filed under the name uncultured bacterium. Its description in RNAcentral is "bacterial SSU rRNA". It matches the Rfam family "Bacterial small subunit ribosomal RNA", at positions 29 to 526 of the family's 1533-position model. The record is from RNAcentral.